GAUGAAGAACGUAGCGAAAUGCGAUAAGUAGUAUGAAUUGCAGAAUUCAGUGAAUCAUCGAAUCUUUGAACGCACAUUGCGCCCUUUGGUAUUCCAAAGGGCAUGCCUGUUCGAGCGUCAUUUGUACCCUCAAGCUUUGCUUGGUGUUGGGCGUCUUGUCUCUAGCUUUGCUGGAGACUCGCCUUAAAGUAAUUGGCAGCCGGCCUACUGGUUUCGGAGCGCAGCACAAGUCGCACUCUCUAUCAGCAAAGGUCUAGCAUCCAUUAAGCCUUUUUUUCAACUUUUGACCUCGGAUCAGGUAGGGAUACCCGCUGAACUUAAGCAUAUCAAUAAGCGGAGGA
RNAcentral lists this unclassified non-coding RNA (341 nucleotides) under soil metagenome. RNAcentral describes it as "partial contains 5.8S ribosomal RNA, internal transcribed spacer 2, and large subunit ribosomal RNA". The stretch from base 1 to 120 matches the Rfam family "5.8S ribosomal RNA", at positions 35 to 154 of the family's 154-position model. The record is from RNAcentral.